UGAUAAGCCCUGCACCAAAUCAUGGGGUAUACUUAUAAGUACAGUUGACUUUUACUUUUACUACUAGUAAAAACAUUCAGCUGUCUAGCCUACUGAGAAAUGGUAGGCUACAUUGAUUCUCAUGUCAUAUCACUUGGAGGUUUUACAGUGUGAUACUGAUCUGAUGUAGUGACACACUUCUUUAUUUAUUUAGGAAGGUGCCAAGUAACUCUGGAGGAUAUUCUCGCCAUGACGAAUCGAGCUGGUAUCAACGUUCUUCGAAGUUGAAUCGGAGAUUAUAGCCAAAACUCGCAGGAACACAUAGCUUUCAAUUGAGAAAUGCUGUACACAGCGCCCAGCGCCCUGGGAGCUGAACGUCUGCGGCCAGGUUACAGUACAGAAGGGUCAUCCAAGGUGCAUCAUGACCCUCAUCCAUCUCCACCAUACCAUAUGCUGGAUGGAGUCAGAGUCUCUACAUUGACUUAUCAUCUUGUGUUAUAUUGAGUAAUUACAAUGAAGUUAUAAAUCUAGUUGGUAAUACUACACAUAAUUUGACAUUACACAUCUUAGGUGCAUUGUGGGGACCCCUUAUUGGACCAAAUGUAGCUGGUUCGAAUCCCUCCUGACCUCUCCCUACAUCUCCAUCCAUGGCUGAAGUGCCCUUGAGCAAGGCACCUAACCCCACAUUGCUCCAGGGACUGUAACCAAUACCACUUUUGGUAAAUGAAAGCGUCAGCUAAGUGCAAUGCAUUUUUUUAAAAAAAAUGCAAUGAAAUGAAAAUGUAAUAUUCCAUGUCUUUUGAUAACAUUUGUAAAUUAAUUUCAUGCAUCAUUCCAUUGUAACAAUCAUAGGGACACUUUCUCAACUUCCACCUGCACAAUAUCUUGGACUCACAGGAAGAGAUUAUCUACAUAAAUCAAAAGACACCGCACACUGCUUACCAUUCUUUUUCUUACUUUAUUUUGACACACAGGGCAAAAUGCGUUGUUAGCUCAGAAAAUUGAAGGAAGAAAAAGAACAAUAAGCAGUGUGAAAUGUCUUUUGAAUUUUGUUCAUUGUUCACCUUCUCCUGCCUCACAUCAGCACCUGCAUUGCUGAGGGCUUGUGCACAAGGACUCUCUUGAACUUAGGUCAUCAAUAUAAUUUGAUGGCCAUUGAAAAUAAAUUUUACACAUUUA
This is a long non-coding RNA of Engraulis encrasicolus (European anchovy), 1158 nucleotides long. RefSeq lists it as uncharacterized. The transcript has 2 exons. NCBI's taxonomy places the organism in Eukaryota, Metazoa, Chordata, Actinopteri, Clupeiformes, Engraulidae. The record is from RefSeq and is a predicted model, not a curated record.